CGUGGGAGGAAAGAGGAUUARAUACCCUGGUAGUCCACGCCGUAAACGAUGUCUACUAGAAAGCUCGGGGCUUCGGACUUGUUUUUCAAAACUAACACAUUAAGUAGACCCCCUGGGAGUACGGCCGCAAGGUUAAAACUCAAAUGAAUUGACGGGGGCCCGCACAAGCGGUGGAGCAUGUGGUUUAAUUCGAUGCAACACGAAGAACCUUACCUACACUUGACAUACAGAGAACUUACCAGAGAGGUUUGGUGCUUCGGGAACUCUGAUACAGGUGCUGCAUGGCUGUCGUCAGCUCGUGUUGUGAGAUGUUGGGUUAAGUCCCGCAACGAGCGCAACCCCUAUCCUUAGUUGCCAGCGAUUCGGUCGGGACUCUAAGGAGACUGCCGGUGAUAAACCGGAGGAAGGUGGGGCCGCCGUCAAGUCAUCAUGGCCCUUACGUGUAGGGCUACACCCGUGCUACAAUGGCGCAUCCAGAGUGCUGCGACCCUGCGAGGGUAGCGAAUCCCUUAAAGUGCGUCGUAGUCCGGAUUGGAGUCUGCAACUCGACUCCAUGAAGUCGGAAUCGCUAGUAAUCGCCUAUCAGAAUGAUGCGGUGAAUACGUUCCCGGGCCUUGCACCCCCCG
This 626-nucleotide ribosomal RNA is filed under the name Pseudoalteromonas sp. Zp17. RNAcentral describes it as "bacterial SSU rRNA". It matches the Rfam family "Bacterial small subunit ribosomal RNA", at positions 760 to 1392 of the family's 1533-position model. Lineage: Bacteria; Pseudomonadati; Pseudomonadota; Gammaproteobacteria; Alteromonadales; Pseudoalteromonadaceae. The record is from RNAcentral.